GGAUCCACCCCUUCCCAGACUCAUUUAAGUGUUGGCAGGGGAAGAAGGGGCACCUCUUGUUGGAGGUCUCUAUCUCUUUGUGGCCCUUCAAGGGUGCAGUUUCAAAAUUAUUUUGUUUCGGUGUUGUUGGCCAGUUCAGCAGCGAGAUCUGCCUGGGGGAAGCUGCCCACAUCCGUUUUUUCAGAUUGGCUCUUUAUGUCAUGUCUGUUGGCAGACUGGGAAUCACCUAAGUGCUGUAGGCAUGCACAAGGUGGCCAGACAGCACAGCUGCUUGCCAUUUCCCUGUGAGACCACUGCCUCCUGCAGGUGAUGGAUUAGAUCACAAAGUGAAUGAUUAAGGCUGUACCUACAGAUGCUACCUGUUGAUGAAAGGUGUUCUGUGAAUAAGGCAGAAUGUUUGAGUGCAAGUACAGAGCUGUCAUCUGGCACUAGAAGGUUUCUGCUCUAAAUGAAGUGUUUCUGUCUUGGGCACAGUGUCCUUAGAUAGUGCUGGUUCAGUUACUCCAGUCAGCAUCGCCACAGCAGUUAACUAACAAGAUGGUGUGUAUUUUUAGAGUGACAGGUAUGACUAAUUACAAAAAAAAAAAAAAAAAAAAAUCAGAAAUCCCAAGAAGCUUGAUGGCAGUUAGAAUUGAUUAGAACUGUAUUUAAAAAAAAAAAAAAACCCUACAUAUUUUUACCAGAAACUUAAUUUUAUGUCAUCAAAGAUUACACCUCUAACUCACACACUUGGAGAUAUGGGAUUUUUUAGUUGGACUGGGAAAUAGGUGAAGAUUCACAUAUUCCUACAAAAAAAUAUCAAUUUAAAAAAAAAAAAAAAAAAAGAGAGAGAGAAAAGGUCCCAAGACUACAAAGCUGCAUCCAAAGUAACAGGGAGCUGCCCCUUCCACACUUGUGAAUUUAUAAUCAAAGCCAUAAGGUAUGCUGUAUCAGCAUCCCUUUUAAUGCAUAAGUGCCACCACAGAACUUUGCUACCAGACUGGAGUGCUUCAAAGAAUUGUUAAUAUUAACAUAAAAUACUAUCGCUCUGUCUAUCCUAUUUUACUACACUUGACACUGCCAAUAGCACAGUAGUUGAAUGGGCCCUUCCUCCAUUCUCAGGCUUAGGAGGGGCAGCUCCAACCUUGUCCUUGAAGUGAGCAAAAGGAAAGCAGAAUCUGGUAUGACCAGGAGGACAGAUGUCUGUGAUGAGUGAUAGCAGCUGCAAUGUGAUUACAGACAGCUUCCAGGAGCAGAAAAACUUGUACUCCCUCCUACUGUUGACAGUUGUUAGAUGGUUUAGUCCUCAGAUUUUACCGAGUUGCUUUUUUUAUUUCAUUCCUACAAAAGGGGGGAGGGGAAGAAAUCCAAUCUAGCUGUCUUGGUUUUGGAUAGAACACAGUUACUGUUCUUCCAUAAGGGCUCAUAUAUUGCUGUGUUUUGGACUUAAGUUGAAAACAAUUGAUAGCACACUGGUAUUUUACUUGUUGCUCAGCAGUGCUUAUUAUAACUCAAGGACUAUUCAGCUUCUUGUGCACCCCUGCCAGCAAGAAGCUGGAGGUGCACAAGGAGCUGAGAGGAUAUAGAAGCAUGAUAGCUGAUACAAACAGCCGAAAGGGAUGUCCCACGCCUGGCUGUUGGUAAGAAAUAGUGAAGAGUUCUUUGUCUUGCUUGGUUGUGGGUACAGCUUUUGCUUUGUCUAGCAAUCUGGUUUUAUCUCAAACCAUGAGUUUUCCUGCUUUUACCUUUCCAAUUCCCUCCCCAGGCCAGCUGUGGGGGAAGUGAGCAGGAGCAGCUGUGAGGUGCUCAACUACCUGCCUGCUGGUGAUAAACCACAACACUGGUAAAGAACACUGAGAGUUAAAUGCUUGUUAAGGGAGGAAAGGCUUUUUUUUUUUUUUUUUUUUAUAUAAAGUUCAUGCCUAACAUUAGAGACUUGCAAGGAGCUUUCAAAGGACCAUGUAGGCAGGACUCGCAGCAUCCUUCUGGUUCUAUAUGUUGGGGAAGUUGCAGGCAGGUACUGUGCAAAAUGAAGUCUGACAGGACAGAAGAUGCCCUGGAAGCAUGAUUUUUUUAAAAACCAUUAUCAGAGCAAUUUUUAAUUAAAAAAAUAUUUAUUCGUAAUACAAAACAUUUUCUUUCCACGCUACAGUGGUUUGUCUCAUGCACACUCCUCGAGCAAACAAUCUCCACUUUGUACACCACUGCCUCACCUCAUAAGCACACUUCUGUUAGCAAGGGGUGCACCAAGGGAAGACAAAUGAUUAAAAAGAAAUGCAGUAGUAAAUGAAUCCCUGCUGGAAUAGAUCAUGCCAGGUGAAAACACUCAAUUGCUUCUGUACUUCACAAAUAGUUGCUGGAGAAGUUGCUGAGAUACAAAAGAUACUUGUUAAUCAAAUUUUACAAGAGAUGGAACAUUAGCCAUAGAGGAAGUAUAAAUGUAUUUACAGAGAUGAAGUUGACCAGGCACUCCAAAAAAAAAAAAAAGUCGUUUCACAGUAUUUUUACCCACUGUGCUUAUUAAUAAUUAAUUAUAGUGCAUAGCUUGCUACAGGGCAGUGGAUGUUACUUUGUAAUUUAAACAACUAAGAAAAUACCCCAUUUUCUGCUAGCCUAAGAAGCUAAUACUGAAGAGUUACACUUCACCUGGAGGGAAGUGUUUUGAUUGAAGAUUAAAAUUAUAGGCCUAAGUUUGAUGUUGUGCUUCUCCAAGCUCUUAGACAUAACUUAAGUGUACAAAUCGUUAAGCUAGUCACAGUCCAAUAUGACUAGUUCAGUGUUUUGUAUUCAGCAGAUUUCAGAAAGAGGUAGGUAAGGCAUCCUUUAAGGAAUCUUCUCUGAUGUUAAGACCUGAGAAGCCAGACAGCGAGCCUAAAAAGAACGGGGGAAGGAGCGUGAAUAGUUUAACAAAUGAAAACAUCUUUUUUCAGUCAUUAAUUUAGAAAAUGCACUUACUAAAGGGCUAUAUUUCAUCCUAAAUGUGAUCUUUCAAGGUAAUAAUCUAAAGAAUUAAUAUUUUAAAAUAUAAAUAGAAUCUUUGGAGAGAAGAAAAAAUACAUGUUCCCCUCCCCCAGAAAACACUACUUUAGUUACUGUGUUGUGAAUUCUAAUGCACAUUCUUUUACAUUUUCUUACACAAACUAUUUCCUAAAAUACUUACAGUUUUCUCUUCCAAUGUGAGGAUGCCAUCUACAGCAACUAUCUGGUAUUGCUUUUCUUUUAAGCUACCCAUAAACUUUCGAAGUAGUUUGAGACUAGUGCCAUCACUGUUUAGUUUUAACAGUUUCUGCAUUUCUUGAGCAGGACAUCCAGGAUCAAAUAGUAGCAAACAUAAGGCUUUAUUCUUCUUUUCUUCUAUGCCUACAACAGUACGGCUAUGACCUAGUUUCAAACAGAUUUUCAGUAUUUUAGAAAAAUGAAAUCCCAUUUACUUGCCUGUAGCAUAUUGCUUAUUUUUAAAUCAAGCAAUACAUUAGUAGAAAUUCAACAUAGUGAUUGUAAUUAAAAAGCAGAUGUCAAAAAGCUGAUAUUCCACUCAUGCUUUUCUACCCAAUAAAAAUACAAAAUUAAUGUUAUACUUUUUAAACAGAAAUUUAACAAUAAAUAGGCCUUCAAUUAAGUGAAAAACACAAGACUGCUCUAAAUCACAGCACACAUAGAGAAAAAGUAAGAAAACAAAUCAGUACAUUGUGAUGCUGACCUUGAUGUUGCAAGUAGAUAGGUGGCCUGGAAGUGCACACUACCUUUGCAGUACCUUCAUUAUCUGUAGAAUAGUAAUGUAAAAUCCACUCAAACAAACGAGGGUGUGUGCCUGUGGGACCAGUUGGCUUGUGGAAGUCAAUAAUUUGGCACCUAUAGAACAUUAAAAAUUAAAACAAGGUAUUAAAUUUGAAGCACUUCCUUUUUUUAAAAACAAACAAAAAAAAACACCUCUCAGUCCUUCCCUCCUUCAUGAAGAACACUUCAUAAACAGCUGCAAUUGCAGGCACUAACUAUUUCACACUAUUUUUGUUGUAUGUUUGCUCUUGCAUUGGACAUGCUGAAUCAUGGCCUGAACCUCUGAUUGAUCACCUGAGGAGAGCAAUGAGUCAGCUAUGGGAGCACAGGUGAAG
Centrocercus urophasianus (Greater sage-grouse) is the source of this 4091-nucleotide long non-coding RNA. RefSeq lists it as uncharacterized. The record is from RefSeq and is a predicted model, not a curated record. NCBI's taxonomy places the organism in Eukaryota, Metazoa, Chordata, Aves, Galliformes, Phasianidae. The transcript has 3 exons.